GCACCGCUGACGACCGGCGCACGGGUGCGUAACGCGUAUACAAUCUACCUUAUAGAGGGGGAUAGCCCAGAGAAAUUUGGAUUAAUACCCCAUAGUAUUAUGAAAUAGCAUUAUUUUAUAAUUAAACAUUUAUGGCUAUAAGAUGAGUAUGCGUUCUAUUAGUUAGUAGGUAAGGUAACGGCUUACCUAGACAUCGAUAGAUAGGGGUCCUGAGAGGGAGAUCCCCCACACUGGUACUGAGACACGGACCAGACUCCUACGGGAGGCAGCAGUGAGGAAUAUUGGACAAUGGGCGAGAGCCUGAUCCAGCCAUGCCGCGUGCAGGAAGACGGCCCUAUGGGUUGUAAACUGCUUUUACAGAGGAAGAAACACUCCCUUGCGAGGGAGCUUGACGGUACUCUGCGAAUAAGGAUCGGCUAACUCCGUGCCAGCAGCGGCGGUAAUACGGAGGAUCCAAGCGUUAUCCGGAAUCAUUGGGUUUAAAGGGUCCGUAGGCGGGAC
RNAcentral lists this ribosomal RNA (501 nucleotides) under uncultured bacterium. RNAcentral describes it as "bacterial SSU rRNA". It matches the Rfam family "Bacterial small subunit ribosomal RNA", at positions 82 to 581 of the family's 1533-position model. The record is from RNAcentral.